Pelobates cultripes (western spadefoot toad) is the source of this 91-nucleotide non-coding RNA. Lineage: Eukaryota; Metazoa; Chordata; Amphibia; Anura; Pelobatidae. The record is from the annotation of a GenBank genome assembly.
UAACAUCAUGGCAGAUUUUUAGCCAAUCCAAUGCUUUCCCUAUGGAAAAGCAUUGGAUUGGGUAAAAAUCUGCCAUGAUGUUACAAAGGGG